RNAcentral lists this ribosomal RNA (497 nucleotides) under uncultured bacterium. RNAcentral describes it as "partial 16S ribosomal RNA". It matches the Rfam family "Bacterial small subunit ribosomal RNA", at positions 28 to 507 of the family's 1533-position model. The record is from RNAcentral.
GACGAACGCUGGCGGCGUGCCUAAUACAUGCAAGUUGAGCGAUGAAGAUUGGUGCUUGCACCAAUUUGAAGAGCAGCGCACGGGUGUGUCACGCGAGUGGAAUCUGCUUUUGAGCGGGGGACAACCUUUGGACACGAAUUCUAAUACCGCAUAACAACUUUCAACAUAAGUUUUAAGUUUGAAAGAUGCAAUUGCAUCACUCAAAGAUGAUCCCGCGUUGUAUUAGCUAGUUGGUGAGGUAAAGGCGCACCAAGGCGAUGAUACAUAGCCGACCUGAGAGGGUAAGCGGCCGGAUUGGGAGUGUGACACGCCCCAAUCGGCUACAGAUGGCAGCAGUAGUGAAUCUGCGGCAAGGGAUGAAAGACUGACCGAGCAACGCGGCAUGAGUAAAGAAGGAUGUCGGAUCGGAAAUCACGGUUGGUAGAGAAGAACGUUGGUGAGAGUGGAAAGCUCAGCAAGUGACGGUAACUACUCAGAAAGGAACGGCUAACUACGUG